AGGCCAUGUUCCUGUGAGAAUUAUGUGUUUCUUUUUUCUCUCUUUUUUUUAUUUUACAAAAAAUUCAAGUGUUGUUUAUGAUCAAUUAUAAGACGUAGAUCCUUUCUUUCUUGGAUCUCUCAAAAACGAAACAAAGAACCUAGAAGAUGUUGGGUGAAGGGGCUUUGUUCGACAAACCCAAUAGUGAAAGGGCUCAAAGUUCUCUUUUGGAUCAACCGAGUUCUUUUCAUUAUACUAGUCAUAAGCAUAGAGGAAAUAAGAAUAUUACUUUAGGGAUGUCUCCAAUGAGCUUCCCGUAGAGGUGGUUGUUUGGAAUCACACAUAUACUGAAUAUCCCUUUUUUUUUUUUCAAUACUGAAACCACUUCUUCAAUCCCAAUCAGCUCCUAGUGCUCCAUUAUGCUUGAUCCUCUAUCCCAUGCAAUAAUAAAGUGUAGGCUUCUUCCCAUGAGGCUACUAUACAUCAGCCCUUUUUGGUUCUGUUCUCAAAACCAGGCUGAGCACAUAAAUAUAUAAUUAAAGCUGUCAAUAAGCCAAACUGUAA
This 543-nucleotide small RNA is filed under the name Histoplasma capsulatum. Its description in RNAcentral is "hypothetical RNA". RNAcentral also lists the same sequence under 1 other name. The record is from RNAcentral. Lineage: Eukaryota; Fungi; Ascomycota; Eurotiomycetes; Onygenales; Ajellomycetaceae.